CAACGACCCAGUAAAAUAUAUACUAACUUUACUUAAAUGUUUAAACUGAGGCUUAGAGAGGCUAAAUAACGUGUCCAAAGUCACACAGCUAAUCAGUGUGAGAGCUGGGAUUCAAAUUCAUGUCUCUCUGCUUCUGGAGCACAAAACACUCCUCCUCCCCAGCACACCUGUCCACGCAGCUGCCUGGGACGCCUGGUGUCUAUAAUACCCUCAGCCUGGGUGCAGCUACCUUUCUGGACCUAGUCGGGAGCAUUGGAACUCCCUAGGGUGAAAGAGCUCGUGCCCACUCCCCUUGCCCACUCUUGUGUCCAGCAGAUUUAAGAUCUCCAAGGUCAUUGUGGUGGGGGACCUGUCGGUGGGGAAGACUUGCCUCAUUAAUAGGUUCUGCAAAGACACCUUUGAUAAGAAUUACAAGGCCACCAUUGGAGUGGACUUCGAGAUGGAACGAUUUGAGGUGCUGGGCAUUCCCUUCAGUUUGCAGCUGUGAGUGCUUCCACACCCCUUCCAGCUAUCCCUUCUCCCCAGCACCCACACCCCCCAAGAUACAUACCUGUGCUUCACUCUUCCUUCCUUCCAGUUGGGAUACCGCUGGACAGGAGAGGUUCAAAUGCAUUGCGUCAACCUACUAUAGAGGAGCUCAAGCCAUCAUCAUUGUCUUCAACCUGAAUGAUGUGGCAUCUCUGGAACAUACCAAGUAAGUGAGCAUCCUGC
RNAcentral lists this small RNA (711 nucleotides) under Pan troglodytes (chimpanzee). RNAcentral's name for it is "retained intron". Lineage: Eukaryota; Metazoa; Chordata; Mammalia; Primates; Hominidae. The record is from RNAcentral.